GUUGUGGGGGAUAACUAGUCGAAAGAUUAGCUAAUACCGCAUACGMCCYGAGGGUGAAAGCGGGGGACCGCAAGGCCUCGCGCAAUAGGAGCGGCCGAUGUCUGAUUAGCUAGUUGGUGGGGUAAAGSCCUACCAAGGCGACGAUCAGUAGCUGGUCUGAGAGGACGAUCAGCCACACUGGGACUGAGACMCGSCCCAGACUCCUACGGGAGGCAGCAGUGGGGAAUUUUGGACAAUGGGGGCAACCCUGAUCCAGCAAUGCCGCGUGUGUGAAGAAGGCCUUCGGGUUGUAAAGCACUUUUGUCCGGAAAGAAAUCGCGCUGGCUAAUACCUGGCGUGGAUGACGGUACCGGAAGAAUAAGCACCGGCUAACUACGUGCCAGCAGCCGCGGUAAUACGUAGGGUGCGAGCGUUAAUCGGAAUUACUGGGCGUAAAGCGUGCGCAGGCGGUUUUGUAAGACAGGCGUGAAAUCCCCGAGCUCAACUUGGGAAUGGCGCUUGUGACUGCAAGGCUAGAGUAUGUCAGAGGGGGGUAGAAUUCCACGUGUAGCAGUGAAAUGCGUAGAGAUGUGGAGGAAUACCGAUGGCGAAGGCAGCCCCCUGGGACGUCACUGACGCUCAUGCACGAAAGCGUGGGGAGCAAACAGGAUUAGAUACCCUGGUAGUCCACGCCCUAAACGAUGUCAACUAGUUGUUGGGGAUUCAUUUCCUCAGUAACGUAGCUAACGCGUGAAGUUGACCGCCUGGGGAGUACGGUCGCAAGAUUAAAACUCAAAUGAAUUGACGGGG
This 789-nucleotide ribosomal RNA is filed under the name uncultured beta proteobacterium. RNAcentral describes it as "bacterial SSU rRNA". It matches the Rfam family "Bacterial small subunit ribosomal RNA", at positions 133 to 918 of the family's 1533-position model. The record is from RNAcentral. Lineage: Bacteria; Pseudomonadati; Pseudomonadota; Betaproteobacteria.